CCUACGGGAGGCAGCAGUAAGGAAUAUUGGUCAAUGGAGGCAACUCUGAACCAGCCAUGCCGCGUGCAGGAAGAAGGCCCUAUGGGUCGUAAACUGCUUUUGUACCAGAGAAAACCACAGUACGUGUACUGUGUUGAUAGUAUGGUAAGAAUAAGCAUCGGCUAACUUCGUGCCAGCAGCCGCGGUAAGACGAAGGAUGCAAGCGUUAUCCGGAUUCAUUGGGUUUAAAGGGUGCGUAGGCGGACUGAUAAGUCAGUGGUGAAAUCUCUCAGCUUAACUGAGAAACUGCCAUUGAUACUGUUAGUCUAGAGUAUAGAUGACGUUGGCGGAAUAUGACAUGUAGUGGUGAAAUACUUAGAUAUGUCAUAGAACACCGAUUGCGAAGGCAGCUAACGAAACUAUAACUGACGCUGAGGCACGAAAGUGCGGGGAUCAAACAGGAUUAGAUACCCUGGUAGUCCGCACCGUAAACGAUGAUUACUCGUUGUUGGCAAUAUGACCGUCAGCGACCAAGCGAAAGCGAUAAGAAUCCACCUGGGGAGUACGCCGGCAACGGUGAAACUCAAAUGAAAUUGACGGCGNGAGAGNGCGAGGACGACACGAGGGGAGGAGG
Molecule: ribosomal RNA, 613 nt
Filed under: uncultured bacterium
Lineage: Bacteria
Description: bacterial SSU rRNA
Rfam family: Bacterial small subunit ribosomal RNA
Source: RNAcentral